AGACUUAUAAGUUAAGUAAAAACUAGUAGCCUUCAAAGCUAGUUAUAAGAUUAUAUCUUUAAGUCUG
RNAcentral lists this transfer RNA (67 nucleotides) under Oreohelix idahoensis. Its description in RNAcentral is "tRNA-Trp". Lineage: Eukaryota; Metazoa; Mollusca; Gastropoda; Stylommatophora; Oreohelicidae. The record is from RNAcentral.